This is a long non-coding RNA of Oncorhynchus tshawytscha (Chinook salmon), 2493 nucleotides long. Lineage: Eukaryota; Metazoa; Chordata; Actinopteri; Salmoniformes; Salmonidae. The record is from Ensembl.
CCGUGUGUGACAGUUCGAAACAGUUUCUCUUUAUUGGCAGUAGGGACUAUAAAGUCAACGUCUUACAGUAGGUACAGUAUCAGCAGUUUCAUUAGGUACAGUAUCAUUUUCUGUUUAGGUACAGGGCAGUUUAGUGGCAUCUUCAAGCCGCUAACUGUCUAGUCAAGGUAGUACAACUCUCAACGCAGUACUCUCAAGGUAGUACAACUCUCAACGCAGUACUCUCAAGGUAGUACAACUCUCAACGCAGUACUCUCAAGGUAGUACAAUGUAGUACUCUCAAGGUAGUACAAUGUAGUACUCUCAAGGUAGUACAACUCUCGACGCAGUAUUUUCAAGGUAGCACAACUCUCAACGCAGUACUCUCAAGGUAGUACAACUCUCAACGCAGUACUCUCAAGGUAGUACAACUCUCGACGCAGUAUUUUCAAGGUAGCACAACUCUCAACGCAGUACUCUCAAGGUAGUACAAUGUAGUACUCUCAAGGUAGUACAAUGUAGUACUCUCAAGGUAGCACAACUCUCAACGCAGUAUUCUCAAGGUAGUACAAUGUAGUACUCUCAAGGUAGUACAACUCUCGACGUAGUAUUUUCAAGGUAGCACAACUCUCAACGCAGUACUCUCAAGGUAGUACAAUGUAGUACUCUCAAGGUAGUACAACUCUCAACGUAGUACUCUCAAGGUAGUACAACUCUCAAUGUGGUAUUCUCAAGGUAGUACAACUCUCAACGCAGUACUCUCAAGGUAGUACAACUGUCAACGUAGUACUCUCAAGGUAGUACAACUCUCAACGCAGUACUCUCAAGGUAGUACAACUCUCAACAUAGUACUAUCAAGGUAGUACAACUCUCAACAUAGUACUCUCAAGGUAGUACAACUCUCAACGCAGUACUCUCAAGGUAGUACAACUGUCAACGUAGUACUCUCAAGGUAGUACAACUCUCAACGCAGUACUCUCAAGGUAGUACAACUCUCAACAUAGUACUAUCAAGGUAGUACAACUCUCAACAUAGUACUCUCAAGGUAGUACAACUCUCAACGUAGUAUUCUCAAGGUAGUAUUCUCAAGGUAGUACAAUGUAGUACUCUCAAGGUAGUACAACUCUCUACGUAGUACUCUCAAGGUAUUACAACUCUCAACAUAGUACUCCCAACGUAGUACAACUCUGCACAACACAGGGUAGUAGAGUAACAUCCAGGAAUAGUCCAUGUACAGUACAGUAAUACAGUCAACAGAACACUUCAGAGCUGUCUAAAGUUCAUAGCAUGGCUUCAGUACUAAACCCUCAGUAAACCACCAAAACAAUUACUCAACACACUGUUUUAGUUUUAGCUAAGUUUUAGAUUUUAGUUUUGGUCUGUUGUUUUUUUGAAUAAACACUACAAGAGUUGGAAUACAGAUUAAUGGCAACAUAUUUCCUCCGCACCAGCAAGUAUUCAGUGAACAGAUGUCCAGUCCGUACAGUAGAAGAUAAAACCCCCUUUUCCCCUCAGUAGUAGGAACAACACAAACAGCUGUUUGAGGCCUGCACCUCUCCUUGUGCUGCCCUCCAAACAUGUACAUUUCAUUAAAGCAUACAUACAAUAUGUACAGCUUAUAUCAGAUAUAUAAAUAGUUACUACUGUGGUUAUUACGGCGGACAAGGAGAGAACGAAUCACAACAUUCAAGUCCAUUAGUAGUACAUCAGGGAAGAACUCAUAGGCCUGAGUCCUAAACACCACCCUCUUCUCUAGAUAGUUCACUACUUGUGAUCAGAGCUCUAUGGGCCUGCUCAAAUGUAGUGCACUUUAAAGGCUCUAGGGUCCCAUUUGGAACGCAGACCUUUGUCCUCCUGGCUAAUAUGGCCAUUAAGCCCACAUAGUGGAUAGAUACAACUCUACUAACAGUAAACAAUAUGCACGGACGGUUAACGUUUUAUGUGUUCAAAACCUUUUUUCUUUUUUAAUCACAAAUAAUAAUACCAGAUUUCAUCCAUAAGUACAUACAAAAAGUGAAAUGUUUCUCAAUUCAUUGUCACACAACAAACAACCAUCUGUAUCCUCCUUGGUCGAACACUUGCACAUUUUCAGCAGCAAGAUAGAUUCCUAUGUGGUCCUUAUAGAUAUGCCUGUCCACAUGAUGUUUAAUGGUCCUUAUAGAUAUGCCUGUCCACAUGAUGUUUAAUGGUCCUUAUAGAUAUGCCUGUCCACAUGAUGUUUAAUGGUCCUUAUAGAUAUGCCUGUCCACAUGAUGUUUAAUGGUCCUUAUAGAUAUGCCUGUCCACAUGAUGUUUAAUGGUCCUUAUAGAUAUGCCUGUCCACAUUAUGUUUAAUGGUCCUUAUAGAUAUGCCUGACCACAUGAUGUUUAAUGGUCCUUAUAGAUAUGCCUGUCCACAUUAUGUUUAAUGGUCCUUAUAGAUAUGCCUGUCCACAUGAUGUUUAAUGGUCCUUAUAGAUAUGCCUGUCCACAUUAUGUUUAAUGGUCCUUAUAGAUAUGCCUGUCCACAUUAUG